This is a non-coding RNA of Caenorhabditis elegans, 104 nucleotides long. The record is from Ensembl. Lineage: Eukaryota; Metazoa; Nematoda; Chromadorea; Rhabditida; Rhabditidae.
UCGCUCAUCGCUCCUUCCCUCACUGUCCGUUCGAUUUCAAUGAGUUUUGACCGCAUUUCAUUUCUAUUUCUCCAUUUUUUUUUGGCGCCCUCCUUCCCCUUCAA